Molecule: small RNA, 124 nt
Filed under: Marmota monax (woodchuck)
Lineage: Eukaryota; Metazoa; Chordata; Mammalia; Rodentia; Sciuridae
Source: RNAcentral
GCUGGGUGCAGGGGUGCACACCUGUAAUCCCCAGCAACUUGGGAGCCUGAGACAGGAGGAUGGCAAGUUUGAGGCCAGCCUCUGAAACUUGGCAAGACCCUCCAUAAAUGGGACCCUGUCUCAA